Molecule: RNA transcript, 1316 nt
Organism: Alosa sapidissima (American shad)
Lineage: Eukaryota; Metazoa; Chordata; Actinopteri; Clupeiformes; Clupeidae
Gene name: transmembrane protein 107-like
Exons: 7
Source: RefSeq, a predicted model, not a curated record
CUUUUAGUUUGAAGACAGAUUUUGCUGGCUCCUGCUGUUGGUCUUAGCAACGCGUCGUCGCGUAGCGUAGGGGUUUUGUUUAUGCAACGUUAGCUAGCGUCUAUGAGAUUUCUACAUAAACCCGCGCUGUUGUUGGUAACGUUUUUUGGAGCCAUUAUUAAGACACCAGUUGCAGGGGAGGAUGCUCCAAUGCCUUUGGUGUGACUGACAGACCCGCCUUGGAGCCAUCACUAUGUCGGUGAUCAGCAGCCUUGUCCCCGCGCGUUUCCUCACACUCAUAGCCCACCUCGUCAUUGUCAUCACCAUAUUUUGGUCAAGGGAAAACAAUGUUAGGGCUUCUUUGCCCUUGCAGUUUACAAAAGAGGAAUAUGAUCAGGAGGACACUAGGUUGGUGAUAGGACUGUCUGUCACUCUUGGCCUGUUUUUCAUAGAACUGUCUGGGUUUUUCUCAGGAGUAUCUAUGUUUAACAGCAGCCAAGGGCUCCUUUCCCUGGCAGCCCACUGCAGCGCGUCUAUCUGUCUGUCCUUCUUUGUGUUCCAGAAGUGGCAGUGCUGGACCUACUGGUUCAUUUUUGCCUUUUGCAGUCAGAUUCACAUCCAAGUAAUGAACAGGAAAAACAAGUGAAAAUCUGUCCCCUUUAAGAAUUGAAACUGCAAUGAACAAGAAUUGUACUGGUCAGACAUCCAGAUAUAAAUGUGUUUCCAGCCCUGGUGGAGCUUGUUCUCUUCUUUGCUGUCUUUGGGUUAAAAAAGAAGCCCCUCUGAGUUAUUAAUACAACAGCUGUUUCUUUAAAAUAUGACAACCACAUCAUGACAGUGAUUGACAGUACAAUCAGGGGGGUAUUCCAAGUACGUGCUUUAGUGACAAACCUGGGUAAGUUAACUCAGAGUAAGUGGUAAACCUCCUACAACAAGAGCCCUAUGUCAUUGUUUUGUUAGGAGAAUGAAGCCAUACAGCUUCUUCUAUUAGGAGAUUUACCACUUACUCUGAGUUAACUUCCCCAGGUUUGUCACUAAACCACAUACUUGGAAUACCCCCCAGUUGUUUAGCAUAUGUUUACAAUUUAUUGUAUGCUCUGUGUGAUUUGUUUUGUAUUCUUUUCUUUGUCCCUUUAAUGUUUAAAUAAACACUUUUGUAUAAAAAAAACAUUUUUUCGUUCUUCAUGAUCAAGUGUUGUAUUGUGUUGUCACUGAACAGCACAAAAGCAAUAUCGUAUAUAUAAAUCGUAAUCGUAUCGUAUCGUAAAUAUAUUUCGGGGAAGAAGUCAAGUGUUGAAAGCCUGGUUGAUUUCUGCAGAUUGAUACUUAUCAUAGUA